Molecule: microRNA, 21 nt
Filed under: Arabidopsis thaliana (thale cress)
Lineage: Eukaryota; Viridiplantae; Streptophyta; Magnoliopsida; Brassicales; Brassicaceae
Also listed under: 1 other name
Description: ath-miR2112-5p
Source: miRBase by way of RNAcentral
CGCAAAUGCGGAUAUCAAUGU